CACGUAGGGUGCGAGCGUUGUCCGGAAUUAUUGGGCGUAAAGAGCUCGUAGGCGGUGUGUCGCGUCGGCCGUGAAAACCUGCAGCUUAGCUGUGGGCUUGCGGUCGAUACGGGCAUCACUGGAGUUCGGCAGGGAGACUGGAAUUCCUGGUGUAGCGGUGAAAUGCGCAGAUAUCAGGAGGAACACCGGUGGCGAAGGCGGGUCUCUGGGCCGAUACUGACGCUGAGGUGCGAAAGCGUGGGGAGCAAACAGG
This 253-nucleotide ribosomal RNA is filed under the name uncultured bacterium. RNAcentral's name for it is "partial 16S ribosomal RNA". It matches the Rfam family "Bacterial small subunit ribosomal RNA", at positions 524 to 776 of the family's 1533-position model. The record is from RNAcentral.